CACGUAAGCGCGGGAUGCUUACGUGGAAGGAAAUUGCUUCCUCAAGGACGCGAUUUCCUUCCACGUAAGCAUCUCGCGAUGUCAGGG
Molecule: non-coding RNA, 87 nt
Organism: Gossypium hirsutum (cotton)
Lineage: Eukaryota; Viridiplantae; Streptophyta; Magnoliopsida; Malvales; Malvaceae
Source: Rfam